Molecule: long non-coding RNA, 2231 nt
Organism: Homo sapiens (human)
Lineage: Eukaryota; Metazoa; Chordata; Mammalia; Primates; Hominidae
Source: Ensembl
CUCGCCGUGAGUCGACGAAGGGAGCGCGGGCGCGCGCCCGCGUCCGCGCACUGAGAGUCGCCUCGGCCGCUCGCUUUCUCGACUCCCGCCUCGCGCCUCGAUCCUGUUCCGCCUCCCUCGGCCCUCCUGCCCGCCCCCACUCGUCGGCCCUCAGCUCAGAGACCUAAUAGGAUGGGGUCUUAGAGAAACAUCUUUUGAGCCACAGACUUCUUUGUUACCAGAAGGAAAAUGAAAGAAGAAAUUUAAAUACCACUUGAAGAGAGGUGCUGCCCAGUUCAUGAGUGCUGCUGCUGUCCUGCCCAAGUACCCAGCUUGCAGAGUGCCAGAGUUAGAGUCCCAGGGGUGUUCUCCACAGCUGCAUGCUUGAUCCAGGCCUAUCAGCCCUGCUUCUUUAGAAUUGACAGUCUGGCUUCGUGGUUAAUUCACAGCAUCUGAGGAAUACAUCCAAAGAGGGUGAUACUGUGGCAUGAUGGUACCAGGAUUCCAAGUUCAUUCCAGAGAAGAUGGCAAGAUGCAGAGAGGAGGAGUCACGCCUGAAGCCACACAGCUGACAUCAGAGCCAAAGCAUGAGCCUCAGUCUCUCUGACCCAGAGCUACCACCCUUGCUGCCUUGGGAAGAAGGAAGCCCCCUCCUAUUCUAUCCUUGAGCUGCCUUGGCAAGGAGGGGCCCCUUGCUGCCGCCAUCCUCACAGGACACCAUCCACAUGAGGGGAUGGUGAGCUCCACUUCCACCUUUUCUACAUGUCUGCUCUUUAAACUGCACACGUUGAUUCAUUCAUUCAUUCAUUCAUUCAUUCCCUUGAUAUUACCAUUCAUUUAUUCAUCAAGUAUUUAUUGAGCAUAUUUAUCUGCAUGGCAUUGUGCUAAUCGUAAUCAUCAUAUUCACCACUGCUGAGCAGAACAGUCAGGGUGCUGCCCUCAGGGAGUUACCAUGUAGUAAAGGAGACAGAUGGAAUCACACAGAGGAAUGCACGUCUGAUUGUAGCCUGACUGGAGUGCCAUGAAGGAGACCAAGAGGGCAGGGUGAUGGAGAAAGCACAGGAUGAAGUUCUCGUCUUCCUUCCAACAGAAUCUCAGUUGCACUCAGUUGUUGCCCCCCUCGAACCUCCCUUGAGCCUCAGGAGAAACCACCCUGAUUCAGAGGUCCAGAGAAGACCUGACUAGCCCAAGGUAAUUCCGUCCCCUUGCCAGAGUGGCUUGGGCAGGGACACGGGACCUAUUUCAAUGAGGCCAAUGAGACAAAGGUAUUUCUGCUGGGGAGGCAGGGGCUUCAAGCAAAGGGUCUUGCUUGAAAGAGCCACCGGAAGAGGGCUCUCUCCUUCCUUAGGGUGUCACCGUGUCUGGAUGCGAUGCCUGGAAGUGCUACAGCCACUCGCGCCCAGCCUGAAGAUGAAACCAACCCCAAACACAGCCAAGCAGAGAGAUGGAAAGAACUAGGACCCUAAUUACACCACUGAGCAGCUAUAGCAACCAGUUCCAGAGCCCUCUGACUUCCCGCCAAAGUGAGAUGAUAAGAUACUGUUUAAUUUCUCUCUUUUAUAGCCAAACACACCAAAAUUGACACAGAGAUGUGAGCCAUACCUACUACUGUUACUGCUCCAUCCCUAGCUCCAACCACAGUGCAUGGUACAUGGUAGAGAGCCAACAAACACUUGAAGAAUGAAUGGUGCAUAUUGAGUGGGAUUUUCCAGAGGCAGACCUGGAGACAAGGCUUCAAGUGCGUGUGUUGUAUUAAGGAAAUGCUCCCAGGGGACAAUAGCAGAGUGGCAGAAAUGGGACAAGGGGGCCAGGGAGCCAAGAACAGAGAAUCAAUCGUCUAAACAGAGCCCCCUGUUUUUUGUUUCACCUGGGAGUAGCUUCUACCUGAUCCCCAGGGGAACUCUGGGAUGUCAGUGACGGCUCAGCAUUGCCCCUGAGGCAAGGGAGCUGGGCUUUCCUAAUCCCCCACUCCUCAGUCUCUGGCUAAGCGCUGUCCCCAGGGGACUUAAUCACCCAAACACUUCCCCAAGAGUGGCAUCUGCUGACCACUGGAGGCACUGGUACAGUGAAGCGACAGAAGGGAUCAGAGAGGGUCCAGGUGGAGCACAGCAAUGUGGCUGAAUAAUAACUAUAUUAAUUCAUAUAGUUAAUUCUCAAGCAAUGGCAAAGUGUAGGCAGCUUCUUGUCUGCAAACGUUUCCAUGAUAUCUCUCCUGCAGCCAGACGGGUCUUUUCCUGCCGCCUACACAGAAU